This is a long non-coding RNA of Magnolia sinica, 982 nucleotides long. RefSeq lists it as uncharacterized. NCBI's taxonomy places the organism in Eukaryota, Viridiplantae, Streptophyta, Magnoliopsida, Magnoliales, Magnoliaceae. The transcript has 3 exons. The record is from RefSeq and is a predicted model, not a curated record.
CAGGAUUAGAGAUAUGUUUAAGGAUGAAAGUGGUUAUUGAAGGAGGGAAUUCUUGGCUAUUACAAAUGAUGUGAAAUUUUCUUGGCCUUUGGAAAGAGCAUUCUUGCUUGAAGCCGAACUCUAUUUUGAAUGAGUUAAGAUAGCUUGAAUUUUGUUAAAGAAAGAACCAAGCUAUAAACUGGGCAUGCAGCUUAAGGGAGGGGAAAGGAGUGGAUGAUCAGGAGGGACCCCUGAACUAGUGUUGAUCUACAUGACAGUCCAUAAAUGUGAGUGAGCUGCGUCAUUCUUCCAUGAAGCUUUCCUCUCCUCCCACUCAUAACAGUAAAGGCAAAAUGAACAAUGCGAAAGGUUUCAGUCUGCUCCUAAAAUUCCUUUUUCUUUCACAAUUAACUUCUUGGUCAGUUAUCAUUUGCAAAAUAUCAAAAGUUGAUAAUACAAGGAAUUCUAAGUGGACUUGCUCAUGUGUGGUGGAUCUAGGUUGGUCGUAGCUCGCCUGCCAACUUACGGUAUAUGUUAUAGACCCGGGCAUUCAUCUGGUAGGGAACACUAUCAUCAAGACCUAACACAAACAUUAUGCUGGUUGACUCAUCGGAUAAGACGUGCAUGUACAUUGAAUAUGGACCAUUGGUCAUUUUUUCAUUGGUCCAUUUUUUUCUCAUACAAGUGUGGCCCACCUAUUGAGUAGACUAGUAUGAUUUUUGGGCUUGAGCAUUAGCAUAGUGUGCCUUCACCUGUCAUGCUCUGCUUCUUGUGCACCUAUAGCAGUGUUUGUGUAAUUGUAUUCAUUGUAUGGGCUGUUUAUGAAACAUAAUACAGAUACAUGUUUGCUAGGUGUUUCUAUAUCAAGCUGAGCAAGCCUUACAUCAGAAAAUAGGAAAGGAAACAUGCAUGGAACUCAGCAGAGAACAUUUUUCCUGUAAACUAAAAAAACAACAAGAAGUUGAUCACUCCUUUGUUAUAUUUAUGCCAAAGAAAAAGAAAA